AUGCAACAACAACUACACUACCUCACUCACAACGGUAACACGCACAAAGAAAACACGCAGAAACAGGUAGAAGAAGUGGAAGGAGCAAAGAAGGAGGCAAGAAGAAACAAGAAGAGCUUACUUGAGUUCACACCUUCCCCGGAAAACGCAUCUCCAUCGCCGCCGCUGAGCCGCAAGAAAGAAGGAAGUGGCGUUGCUCGUGUUUCGCAAAGAAGAGGAUUGGAAGAGAUGAGAGGCGGUGGCGUCGUGGUGCUAGACGGAAGAGGAAGCAAGAGGAAAGGAGAAGCCGCGUCAUGGUGCUAG
Non-coding RNA from Vicia faba (fava bean), 303 nucleotides. Lineage: Eukaryota; Viridiplantae; Streptophyta; Magnoliopsida; Fabales; Fabaceae. The record is from the annotation of a GenBank genome assembly.